CAAAUAGUACGGGGAACUUGCAGCCCUCAUACUCACCCUCUGCCCUGCUCAACCCCCACCAGCCCCACCAGGGGGCCUAGAGGUGCCCUGGAGUUGCAGAAAGUGGAAACAGAGAAGCUAAACACUGGAGAGUUUGGGGCUGCCAAAUGAACAGGCCUUGCCACAUCAAGCAUGUUGUAGAGCCAAGACCACCCAAGGAACAACCAAAUGGACUCUUGGAAGGAAAGGCCAAGGCACAAACAAUACCAACUCAAAGGGCAUCACAAGGGGUUCAGGCCCUUGAGAGAGAGAUGGGGUGUUAUAGGAUGCCUUUGGCUCUGUCAUUCUCCUCCAGGAAUGAGGAGAAACAACUCGGAGGGAAGGAUACUCAGUUUUCUCUACAUCUGAACUCGCCCGCAAUAUCUCCAUGAGGACAACUUACUGUGGAUGACCUCCAUGGUAUUGCUGCAGUAUUGAACCUCGUGGUCAGGCGUCUCCUCUCACCUGUACAGUUGCUUUACUAUUUCUCAUCCCACCUGCUAUGAGCCAGCCAAUAAAGGUAUCAGUAAAUUAA
Molecule: non-coding RNA, 553 nt
Organism: Macaca mulatta (Rhesus monkey)
Lineage: Eukaryota; Metazoa; Chordata; Mammalia; Primates; Cercopithecidae
Source: RefSeq, a predicted model, not a curated record